UAACGACAGGCUAAAAAAUAAACUAUGAUAAAAAAACCUUAAAAUAAACUCUAAAUUUAAGUUUUAAAAUUUGGCGAAUGGUUAGGUCCAUGAGAUUAGUUGGAGUCGUAACUAGUAGCAGACUAAUAUAGCUGAUAAUGAUAGACUUGGUUACUACUAAAACUUAUCAAGAUGUGCUAGACGACACAGCUGAUGAUCAUGCAUCGAAUCUAUGCCAAACAUGACAUGAUUGACGACAGCAAAAUGAACACAAUUAAACAAAUUACAUAUCGAGUUUAUCGUCCAGCUGCAUGCUAAUUAUUGUCCCACAUCACCCAAACUGGACAUUAUUAUGGCCUUCAAUUUCUCAAUGUAAUAAAUUCCACCGUGGCUAGAAAAGUGAAGGUUUUAAUCCAAACAGUGGGAGGGCCAAUUCAGCCAUGGCGGCGACUCCUCUGCGCACUGAAACCUCUGCAAGCUCUUCGCUGAGCCGGGCGGAUGAGAGCUCGCCGUGGUCCAUGUGCGCCAGCAGCGCGACACACAUGAGCCGGCGCCAGUAAGCAUCCGACUAACGCUAACCCUAAUAUGAUCCAAGCUGACCUGGCUUGCGUUUGGAUAAUGCAUACCCUCGUGUCGGCUCCGGGCCGCCGCCGGCGAUGCAUGCCUCCGUGCCACCCAAACUCCAUCCGGGUUCCCCUCGGCCUCCGACGGCCGCCGCCACGGGCCAUCGUCCUCCGCGACGGCAAGCCCCGUCGGCGAGCCAGCCCACCCCGGUUUGCCUCUCUGGUCGAAACUACCGUGGGCAAUGGGCCGGCGGCAGCGUG
RNAcentral lists this long non-coding RNA (803 nucleotides) under Oryza brachyantha (malo sina). RNAcentral's name for it is "long non-coding RNA (OBRA_LNC002924)". The record is from RNAcentral. Lineage: Eukaryota; Viridiplantae; Streptophyta; Magnoliopsida; Poales; Poaceae.